This 29-nucleotide non-coding RNA is filed under the name Mus musculus (house mouse). Lineage: Eukaryota; Metazoa; Chordata; Mammalia; Rodentia; Muridae. The record is from RNAcentral.
UGCUGGAAAAUGGUGGUCAUCUAUCCUGU